UGGGGAAUAUUGGACAAUGGGGGGAACCCUGAUCCAGCCAUUCCGCGUGUGUGAAGAAGGCCUUAUGGUUGUAAAGCACUUUAAGCGAGGAGGAGGGUACUGGUAUUAAUACUACCAGCUACUGGACGUUACUCGCAGAAUAAGCACCGGCUAACUCUGUGCCAGCAGCCGCGGUAAUACAGAGGGUGCGAGCGUUAAUCGGAUUUACUGGGCGUAAAGCGUGCGUAGGCGGCUAAUUGAGUCGGAUGUGAAAUCCCCGAGCUUAACUUGGGAAUUGCAUUCGAUACUGGUUAGCUAGAGUGUGGGAGAGGAUGGUAGAAUUCCAGGUGUAGCGGUGAAAUGCGUAGAGAUCUGGAGGAAUACCGAUGGCGAAGGAAGCCAUCUGGAAUAACACUGACGCUGAGGUACGAAAGCAUGGGGAGCAAACAGG
This 430-nucleotide ribosomal RNA is filed under the name Pseudomonadota bacterium. Its description in RNAcentral is "Proteobacteria bacterium partial 16S ribosomal RNA". It matches the Rfam family "Bacterial small subunit ribosomal RNA", at positions 355 to 776 of the family's 1533-position model. The record is from RNAcentral. Lineage: Bacteria; Pseudomonadati; Pseudomonadota.